Molecule: long non-coding RNA, 736 nt
Filed under: Apteryx haastii (Great spotted kiwi)
Lineage: Eukaryota; Metazoa; Chordata; Aves; Apterygiformes; Apterygidae
Description: lncRNA (ENSAHAG00000005763.1)
Source: RNAcentral
GGGGGGACAGGGACACCUGGGGGACACCCCGGGGUGACAGGGGACACCGCGGGGACAGCGCUCACCGUGGUGGAGCGGUCGGGGACGGGGGCGCCCUGGGGACAACCUGGGGUGACAGGGGACACCGCGGGGACAGCGCUCACCGUGGUGGAGCGGUUGGGGACGGGGACACCCUGGGGACACCCCGGGGUGACAGGGGACACUGCGGGGACAGCGCUCACCGUGGUGGAGCAGUCGGGGACGGGGACACCCUGGGGACACCCCGGGGUGACAUGGGGACACUCCGGGGACAGCGCUCACCGUGGUGGAGCAGUCGGGGACAGGGACGCCCCGGGGACACCCCGGGGUGACAGGGGACACCGCGGGGACAGCGCUCACCGUGGUGGAGCGGUUGGGGCCCUGCCAGCAGCCCGUGCCGUGCUCGUACUUCAUGGCGCUGAAGCGGUCGUGCUCGGGGCCGGCCCAGGAGCCCCACGUCCUGCGGGGACGCGGGGACACCGUCACAGCGGGGACACGGGCGCCGUGACGCCGCAGGGACACGGGCACAGCGACACGGUGGGGACACAGGAACGUGGGGACAGCGCUGCAGCCAAGGACACGGGCAGCGUGACACCACGGGGACAGGGCCACCACGAGGCGGCAGGGACAUGGGGACGCAGGGACAGGACAGCGGCUGGGGACAGGGGGACACAGGGACAGCACAGUGGUGGGGACAUGGGGACACAGGGACACGGGG